RNAcentral lists this ribosomal RNA (253 nucleotides) under uncultured bacterium. RNAcentral's name for it is "partial 16S ribosomal RNA". It matches the Rfam family "Bacterial small subunit ribosomal RNA", at positions 524 to 776 of the family's 1533-position model. The record is from RNAcentral.
UACGUAGGGGGCAAGCGUUAUCCGGAUUCACUGGGUGUAAAGGGAGCGUAGACGGCGACGCAAGUCUGGAGUGAAAGCCCGGGGCCCAACCCCGGGACUGCUCUGGAAACUGCGUCGCUGGAGUACGGGAGGGGCAGGCGGAAUUCCUGGUGUAGCGGUGAAAUGCGUAGAUGUCAGGAGGAACACCGGCGGCGAAGGCGGCCUGCUGGACCGUGACUGACGUUGAGGCUCGAGAGCGUGGGGAGCAAACAGG